This is a non-coding RNA of Enterobacter cloacae S611, 88 nucleotides long. NCBI's taxonomy places the organism in Bacteria, Pseudomonadati, Pseudomonadota, Gammaproteobacteria, Enterobacterales, Enterobacteriaceae. The record is from Rfam.
UUACGUGACGAAGCGCGUGCCAAAGUGGACAAUAACGCCUGAGCUAUCCGUUAGCCUCCCGAACGCCGGUUAAAGCCGGCGUUUUUUA